CCGUCUUAAACACGGACCAAGGAGUCUAGCACGUGCGCGAGUCAUUGGGACUUGUCGAACUAAACCCAGAGGCGCAAUGAAAGUGAAAGGCGGGGCCUAGCGUCCCGCCGCGAGGGAAGAUGCGCGGCCGUCGUCGUACGGCCCGCCGCAUUCCCGAGGCGUUUCGAGAAAGCCACCGCGUGAUUAUCGAGACGCACUGAGAGCGCACGCGCUGGGACCCGAAAGAUGGUGAACUAUGCCUGGUCAGGUCGAAGUCAGG
RNAcentral lists this ribosomal RNA (259 nucleotides) under Contulma talamanca. RNAcentral's name for it is "partial 28S large subunit ribosomal RNA". It matches the Rfam family "Eukaryotic large subunit ribosomal RNA", at positions 649 to 856 of the family's 3401-position model. Lineage: Eukaryota; Metazoa; Arthropoda; Insecta; Trichoptera; Anomalopsychidae. The record is from RNAcentral.